RNAcentral lists this long non-coding RNA (1419 nucleotides) under Ictidomys tridecemlineatus (thirteen-lined ground squirrel). RNAcentral describes it as "lncRNA (ENSSTOG00000033742.1)". The record is from RNAcentral. Lineage: Eukaryota; Metazoa; Chordata; Mammalia; Rodentia; Sciuridae.
CGCAGUGUCCACAGGUGAGGACCCACCCACCAGUCCGGCUUAGCCCUGGUCCCUCACCAGCCCCGCGCCCCUCACCGAGCUCCCCGCAGGUGGCCAGAGCCAACGCCAGAAGUGCCAGCCUCAUCCCUUGCAUGGUCCCCGCUGCCCGGCGGGCUCGAACGCAGCGCGGUGGUCCGACCGGUCGGCGCAGCGGAUUAGCGGGAUCUUGUUUCUGGGCGGGCGGAGGCGCGACGACCCCGCCCCAGCCCCGGCCCUCCCGCCUGCUCCUCUGGACAUCCCACCCCCUAGGGUUCUCCUCCCGCCCCUUCCCGACCCUCCAGGCCCCCCUCCUCCUCCGGAUCCCUCCCCGCCCUUUCCUCAUUCCUCGGGCACUCUAGGCGGUACUACUGCUCCUUUGUGGACCCUGGGCGCUGCCCCUUCUCCACUGGGGGCCCCACCUCCCUCCCCAAUUCCUAACCUUUCUGCUUCCUCCUCCUCCCUCCCACCCAGGACGUUCCGGGGCCCAGACGGAAGGAGACAGCAGAGGGAGGGGCUUUCUCCAGGACCCCUCCACGCUGCCUCUGCUGCCACCGGACCCGGCAGGUUGUUGGUCUAGCACUCUGGGCUGGAAUCUUCUCAGGACCACUUUGCCCUCUCUGGGCUCCUUUGAGGUGGCCAUCUGGGGCACCGGGUGUGGGGCUGCACUGCCAUCCACAACCAGCCCAGAGUUUGCUCAGAGGCUUAAGGAACAAAAAACGAAAACUGCUGGGUCAACAGAAAAGGGCCUGGCUGGAGGGUGAGUGUAGGGAAGGGGCCAGGGUCACGUUGGGGACAUUAGUCCCAGUGUCCUCUGGGGGCCAGCCCCACCCUGCUGGUCCCUCAGAGGGAUUUCCCUGGCCCAGGAUCAGGAGAGAGCCACCAAUAGCUUCCACCCCUACCUGCAUCCCCAGGGGUCCUGGUCACCCCUGCUCCAGGCCCAGCUGCCAGAGUAUGUGGGGGGAGUGUGGCUGGGUCCACGGGCCUGGCUUGUCUCUCCCCCAGUGGUCCAGGGCACAGUCUCAACAUGCUGGGCAGGACUCACACUGGGGUGGGGGUGGGGCCGGUGGAGUGUCCAAGUCUCACUCCCUUCCUGAUUCUUGCUUCUCUGACCCCACUGCAGAAGAUGCCCCUCCAGUGGAUGGAAUUUUGCCUAUGGGGGUCUCUGAUGGUCCUUUUAUGGUCCUAGGCCUUCUACUGGGUCAGCUCCACUGGGAUCUGGGCUUCCCCUGGUGCGGGAGAGCCUUCGUCCUCCUGAGCACUGGGCAGGGUCAAGGUGAAGGUGCAGCUCUGUCCAUGGGGAGCAGCGUGAGGAGAGGCCACGUCAUUCCCUUGGCUGUGCCUGCUAAGAGCUCAGUGGCCCAGCCAGUGCCCAGUGUGGAAUGGCUACAGAGCCCUGAGUAA